This 446-nucleotide ribosomal RNA is filed under the name uncultured bacterium. RNAcentral's name for it is "partial 16S ribosomal RNA". It matches the Rfam family "Bacterial small subunit ribosomal RNA", at positions 338 to 795 of the family's 1533-position model. The record is from RNAcentral.
CCUACGGGUGGCAGCAGUCGAGAAUCAUUCACAAUGGGGGAAACCCUGAUGGUGCGACGCCGCGUGGGGGAAUGAAGGUCUUCGGAUUGUAAACCCCUGUCAUGUGGGAGCAAAUUAAAAAGAUAGUACCACAAGAGGAAGAGACGGCUAACUCUGUGCCAGCAGCCGCGGUACUACAGAGGUCUCAAGCGUUGUUCGGAAUCACUGGGCGUAAAGCGUGCGUAGGCUGUUUCGUAAGUCGUGUGUGAAAGGCGCGGGCUCAACCCGCGGACGGCACAUGAUAAUGCGAGACUAGAGUAAUGGAGGGGGAACCGGAAUUCGCGGUGUAGCAGUGAAAUGCGUAGAUAUCGAGAGGAACACUCGUGGCGAAGGCGGGUUCCUGGACAUUAACUGACGCUGAGGCACGAAGGCCAGGGGAGCGAAAGGGAUUAGAUACCCCUGUAGUC